RNAcentral lists this transfer RNA (71 nucleotides) under bacterium. RNAcentral describes it as "tRNA-Trp". It matches the Rfam family "tRNA". From Rfam's summary of the family: Transfer RNA (tRNA) molecules are approximately 80 nucleotides in length. RNAcentral also lists the same sequence under 2 other names. The record is from RNAcentral.
AGGCCCAUAGUGAAAUGGCAUCACCAAGGUCUCCAAAACCUUUAUUUGAGGUUCGAAUCCUCAUGGGCCUG